This 354-nucleotide ribosomal RNA is filed under the name Triticum aestivum (bread wheat). Its description in RNAcentral is "partial small subunit ribosomal RNA". Lineage: Eukaryota; Viridiplantae; Streptophyta; Magnoliopsida; Poales; Poaceae. The record is from RNAcentral.
AGGGUAUUCCUUCCUCGAAUACCCCUAUGCCCGUCUGACAACGACAUGUUUCCAUUCAAGUUCAAGAGGAAGCAAUUUCCUGUAAGGCUUAGCUUUGCUAUGACGAUUAACAAGGCUCAAGGCCAGACGAUUCCGAUUGUUGGCGUGUACCUACCUAAUCCGGUGUUCUCUCAUGGUCAACUGUAUGUUGCAUUGUCUCGAGCCACCGCAAAGAGAAAUAUAAAGAUCCUCAUUGAGAAGGAGAAGGAGAAUGCCAAGAAGGAAAGCGGUAAAUCUAAGAAGCGAAAAAGACCUGCCUUGUCCUUACAAACCUCGAUGAAGAACAUCGUCUAUAAGGAAGUCCUUACAGGCUGA